Molecule: long non-coding RNA, 582 nt
Organism: Triticum aestivum (bread wheat)
Lineage: Eukaryota; Viridiplantae; Streptophyta; Magnoliopsida; Poales; Poaceae
Exons: 2
Source: RefSeq, a predicted model, not a curated record
UGGCCGAUCUUUUUCUCUUUGACCCUAUUUCCCAAUUUUGACCAAGCCUCGCCGGCGACGGCGACGGCGACCCCUCGGCCAGCGCUCUGCCUGGUCCCCAAUUCGACCUCUCGAAGGAGACUGUGGUAUUAUCCUUUAUCCACUCCUUUUGAGGGUAUCCCCGCUGCUCCCGGCAACGCGCCACCGCGGGGCUUCCUCAUCCGCGGCCAGAAACGGCGAGCCCCGGCGGUCUUCUCCAAGUCUUCAGAAACCAUGACAGCUGUGUGGCUCCUGCAUCCUUCCGGUGGCUCGAUGUGCGCAACUCCUGCCCCACCUGCCAGUGCGCGGCACGGGAGGCGCCGGUAGGGAUUGGUGUCGGCGGCCAGGACUGGCGACGGCGACGAGGAGCUUUGGUGUGACACCGAGGGGGAUUUCGCAGUGGCAGUUUGUUCGAUCUCUGAGGGUUGCCAUUUGUUGGAGUUGAAUUCUCAGUCAAGAAAUCUCUUCCAUUAUAUGAUGUCUCUCAUGAUCAAUGAUUUAUACUAUUUCGAUUCCAAGUUUUCCUUGUGGUUUUCUGAAUGGAUUUAACAGCUUCCAUCAAUA